This 304-nucleotide long non-coding RNA is filed under the name Vigna radiata. RNAcentral describes it as "long non-coding RNA (VRAD_LNC018371)". Lineage: Eukaryota; Viridiplantae; Streptophyta; Magnoliopsida; Fabales; Fabaceae. The record is from RNAcentral.
AAAAUAUUUAUUUAUAAUAGUAAGGAAUAUUUAUAAUCAUAUAAAGAAGAACAAUCAAGGUCAAAUGGAUAGGCUUGGGUCAAAAGUUAAGAUUAACUGACCCAUGACGAAAGUGGAGAAUGAUCGGUUCGAGUCAAAGAUCAAGAUUGAUUGGUCUAGGUUGAAGGUCGAGACAAAUGGACUCAGGUUAAAGGUUAAGAUUAACCAGUUUGGACCGAAGGAGGCCAACUCAAGGCGAAGGUUGUGAGGAGCUGAUCAGGCAACAUAUCGACACUGGUCAAAGAUCGAGACAGACCAAUUGGAU